This 100-nucleotide ribosomal RNA is filed under the name Cladonia macilenta. Its description in RNAcentral is "partial 28S ribosomal RNA". It matches the Rfam family "Eukaryotic large subunit ribosomal RNA", at positions 1 to 100 of the family's 3401-position model. Lineage: Eukaryota; Fungi; Ascomycota; Lecanoromycetes; Lecanorales; Cladoniaceae. The record is from RNAcentral.
UGACCUCGGAUCAGGUAGGGAUACCCGCUGAACUUAAGCAUAUCAAUAAGCGGAGGAAAAGAAACCAACAGGGAUUGCCUCAGUAACGGCGAGUGACACA